GAUAUAGCUCAGUGGCAGAGUACUUGCCCAGCAUGCAAGAGGCCCUGGGUUCCAUGCCCAGCAUC
Non-coding RNA from Ictidomys tridecemlineatus (thirteen-lined ground squirrel), 65 nucleotides. The record is from Rfam. Lineage: Eukaryota; Metazoa; Chordata; Mammalia; Rodentia; Sciuridae.